AUGUGCCGAAAUCUGACUUCUAUCUCCUCCAAAUUCUGGUGGGGUGCAGCGAAUGGUGAAAGGAAAGUGCAUUGGAUAGCAUGGGAUAAAAUGUGUACAACUAAGCAUGAUGGUGGUCUGGGAUUCAGAGAUCCGUAGGCCUUCAACCAAGCAUUGCUAGCUAAACAAGCCUGGAGGAUCUUACAGGCACCGUCAUCAUUAUGUGCAAGGGUGCUCAAAGCUAGGUACUUCAAAGAUGAAAGCAUCAUGACCACGACGUGCCCGUCCGGAGCAUCUUACACUUUUAGGAGCAUAUUACAUGGGCGUGAUCUGCUGCGUGAAGGUACCAUUUGGCAUAUAGGAGAUGACCAAGAGAGGGAAGCAUGA
RNAcentral lists this ribosomal RNA (366 nucleotides) under Triticum aestivum (bread wheat). RNAcentral describes it as "partial small subunit ribosomal RNA". The record is from RNAcentral. Lineage: Eukaryota; Viridiplantae; Streptophyta; Magnoliopsida; Poales; Poaceae.